GUUUAGUGAAUUUACCAGAAUCGUCCAGAAAACAUGGGAAACAGCAAGUGUUCUUGCAGACUGCGUCGGAGGCACCCGCACGAAUACAAAGCUGACAACAUAGUUUUGCCUGGGCGGAUGCGCAGCAGCCGCACUCCGCCGCGGUGGGGUUAACAUUGAGGCUCAAGAUGACCAGGCACAUGAUCACCAUCAAAGUGGUAGUCCUCUUUCCCUCCAUUGCCUCCUCUUAGCUUGCUGCUACCUUCCUUGGUUACCUAGCUAAGUUUAUUGGUUUUGUGUUGAGAGGUGUGAUUCUUGAAUGGACGUUGCCGGCGGCAAUUUAUAGGCAGCUGAGCUAUGUGAUGAUAUGGACUAGGUGCAAAUGGGUGGUUAAUGGCAAGGAAAGGGGCGUCAGACAAAGCCCAAUGGCAACUGCUGACAUGCGAUUAAAUUCAGAUCCACAUCCGGCCAUUCAAUAAUACGGUUGGAGUUGUGGCACAGAUAUAUUAUUGCAUGAUCAUCAAGAUAAGAUCGUACAGUGACUGAGUGAGACAAUAAAUAGCCAAGUAAACUAUUUUAUCCUGCUGCAAGCUGCAUUCAUAAGUUUAUUUCACCUUUGAUCACAAUACUCUUCACACACGUACGUCUCAGGGAGAUCUCACUUCCGCUGGACUGCUCACUUCCGCUGUCGUCGGUACUGCCAAAGACAUAAGCUCACAUCUGCUAUUGCGGAGCAGGCCAAUUUGCUGCGGAACUUCGGCGACGACCUGAAGGACAUGAACUCGGUGCUGGAGUCCAUCUCAGCAGCGCUCUAGGACGCUGACACCGGUAGAAAAACGACCUUCCAUCGUCAACAAAAAUCCCGGUAGCUUUUUUACUCGGUACUAAAGAGGUUUUAAUCUCGUGCAAACACCUUUAGUCCGGAUUGCUGUUACCACGCAACCCGAACUAAAGCGUCCCCCACGAGUUACUAUAUAAGGAUUGCAUCCUUUACUCAGUCAGAUAUAAUGUGUAGGUGAGAUGGUAAGGAAGCUAUACGUGAGGCUUCAGGUUGUGGGUUCGAAUCCAAGGAGAAGUGGGUGCAGCUGUGGCUUAAGCGGCUGAGGCACGCCGCCAUAGACAUCUCAGAUUUGCUCGAAGACUACCAAGACACUAGUGAACCCUUAACAGUAAAGGUGAGUACUUAUGAAUGUCAGCAUCCAUGUUGUCCAUGCUUCCAAUGUAAUAACAAGAUGGACUACUCUUCCUAGCGGACUCUUCACAACCACUCGUAAAGCUAUACGUUUCUCAAUGCAAUUUCGUAGAAGCCAAUCGAUCCAACCAAGUGACUAAAUCAUUCAUCCUUUCCAAUGAUGUGCAUCAGGUUUUCUACAUGAAGGGCAUCUCUAGCAAACCCAAGAUUUCAGAAGAAAAAGAAAAAUCAUUGGAGCCAAAGAGCCACAUAGUUCUUCCAGGAAAAAAAAAUCAUGGGAGUCGAGAACAAAUCAAACCAAUCAGAGGAUUAUGGUCAGCUUAAUGGCAUGCCUCCAUUCGAUGUCGAAGUUCACCCAAGCAUCAUGUUAGCCAAACAUCAAAUGUUCGUGCGUUGUUACGGUAAAGAUCAAUUGUGUUUUUUAAACUCAUGGAAUUUUUUUUCUAAGUUUUUAUUACACUUAUUGGAUGUCUACACAUUUGCUAGAAAACCAAAAUAAUUUGGACUUAAUUAUUUCUUUCAACUGAAGUACUCACUAAAUUUCUACCUUUUUAUUUAAGCAAGAGAGUUGCUAAAAAAAAUGGAUACAUAACCAUGUUGUAUCGUACAAAGCAACCACAUUUCACAUAUAGUCCGGCUUACCAAACACCAUUUUUUACUGAACAUAGCGUACAUGAGUUAAGAGACAUGGAUUUAUUUCUAUUGCAAGUAGCAUAGCGUACAACCUGCCUGCACCGAUGCAGCUCAAUAUGCGAUAAUUUUUAUCUUCCCAUGUAAUUUUUCUACUCUAGUACAUAUUGAACUCCACAUUAAUGUCAUGUUCUUUGGCGCCCCAGACGGUUCCUAAAGUUUGGAAACAAAAUAGAUAGCCAGAAAUUUUUUUAAAAAAUAUUUAUAUGGAUAUUUGUAUGUUCUUUGCAAACUAACAAUAUUGUUUACCAAUAUCAAAAGGAAUAUGGCUAGGAGCCAUUGCCGCAUAUGGCAGGUGAUGGUAGAUGGCGUAUGGGAUUUCGUUAAUUUAAUGGUAUAAUAAGCUGAAAUACAUUUUCUAUUUGCAAAUGAAUCAUAGCUGAAAGUGGUGAGAUUGUUUUUUCGCCGGUUUAGCAUCCUGUGCACCGGUUCAACUGGAGGGAAGCGGUUCACCGAGACGGAUGACAAUUUUACGGCAGAAUCAUUACUUGUUUUAUUAUUAGGUGAAGAUUUUAGCUUUUAGGUAUCUCACAUUAACAAUCUGUUUCUAGUGUAUAAUGUAGGAGACCCGUAAAGAGUCUACACACACAUAUAUAUGUUGACUAUGAAUGUAAGUUUGUUGGUUUUAUGUAUGUUCAUUUGGAGUUUAUAUAAAUUUUACAUUUUAUAGUUUUGUGUAUAUGACGAAGAUCCAUGACUUGCAUUAAUUUAACCUUUCUUCCAACAACUCUUAUGCAUGCUGUUUCUAGGGGAGCGCACUGGUUGCAAUUUUGGUCCCCGAUAUAGCAUGAGGACUUAAGGGAGACGGGCACGUCGUAACCUUAGAUAUUUUUGCAAGAAGCAAAUUAUACUUUGCUUUUGAUUUUCUCCAUGCCAUUUGCUGACUCUUAUCCCUUUUAUUUAUCAUUAUAAGAUGAAAAUAUUGUAAAAACUUGGUUACGUGCGGUCGCAGAAGCUAGAGACUAUUUCUUUUUUUAAAAAUACGCAAGAGGGAGAAACUUGGUAACAGCUAGACAGUGAAGAUCGCAUUUCAUAAGAAAGAUGGUGCACGUUCUUGUUUGGCUGUUAACGAAAUGACUUCGUUUCACCACACCACCAGAGAGCCCCAUUGCACUUGCAGCAAAAGCGUGGAGCCGCUUUCAACCAGCGUGCAAUAAUGCAGUCCCGCGUGUCUUGGUCUUACAGGAUAUUUGGUUCUUUAGUCCGGACUAAAAUUCAUGUCGCAUAGAAUAUUCAGAUGUUAAAUAGGAGGACUAAACAUGAGCUAAUUAUAAAAAUAAUUACACAAAUGGAGGCUAAUUCCCAAGACAAAUCUAUUAAGUCUAAUUAAUCCAUCAUUAGCACAUGUUUACCGUAGCACCGUAUUGUCAAAUCAUGGACUAAUUAGGCUUAAUAAAUUCGUCUCGCAAGUUAGUCUCCAUCUAUACAAUUUGUUUUAUAAUUAGUCAAUGUUUAAUACUCUAUCUAAACAUUCAAUGUGACUGAAAUUUUAGGAGGUCCUAAAGAACCAAACACCCCUUAGUCUCCGCCUGAACUAUAGCAGGUGCUGGCAGCGGUAGCAGGGUCGUCCAUUAUAUCUAUGGAUGGAAAUGAUCUGAUUCGGAUGGAAUCGAAUUCGAAUAGCACUUUUUACCACAUACUAAUCUGAAUUGGAUGUUCUCGAAUGUGAAUGCAAAACGGAUAGUUCAAAUUUGAAUACUUUGCGGAUUUUUGCAUAAUAUUAAUCGAAGAGAAUUUGUUAAAUUUAGCCGAGACAUAAAUUUUUCUAAAUUCAAAUACUUUGCAGAUUUUCGAAUGCAAAUUUUUUCAUACGAUCUCGGUUGAAUACAAACUUUAUAUCAAAGUUGUAUAUUUAGAUUAUAUAUAAAACUUUGUAGUUGACCUCCUUUUCAUUUAAAAUUUUUUAAUAGCUCAAAACAUUAUUCUAAGCUUUCUAAUUUCAAAAUCUUGAAUUUUAAAUUUUUCAAACGACCUCGGAUGCAAACAAGCUCUAUAUCAAAGUGCUUAAUGAGAUAUAAAAUUUUGUAGUUGACAAGUUUUUUAGUUGAAAACAUUUAGUUAUCACAAACAUACAAGUUCUUCAUUUGAUGUCGAGGAUUGGAAGUGUUGAGUUUGAAGAAUAUAUUCUUUGAUUACAAACUUUUCCAUAUGAUCUUGGAUGAAUACGAACUUUAUUUCAAAGUUGCAAAUUUAGAUUAGACCAAAAACAGUAUAGUUUACAAUUUUUUCAUUCAAAAUUAUUUAGUAGCUCAAAAUGUUAUUCUAAACUCUCUAAUUUUGAAAUCUUGAAUUUUAAAAUUUUCAAAUGACCUCGGAUGCAAACAAGCUCUAUAUCGAAGUGGUAGUUCUUAAUGAGAUAUAAAAUUUUGUAGUUCCAUCUGAGAUCAUUUAACAGUCACAAAUAUACAAGUUUUUCAUAUGAUGCUAAGGAUCAGAAAGAUUAAGUUUGAAGGCUGUAUUUUUUUAAUACAAAUUUUUGCAUACGAUCUCGGAUGAAUACAAACUUUAUAUCAAAAUUGUAGAGCUCGAUGAGAAUUUAAACUUUGUAGUUGAUAUAUUUUUCAUUCGAGAAUGUUUAGUGGUCCAAACAUGUAUUAUAAGUUCAGAGAAGAAACACACAAUCGGCCACGUCAUCAAUUGACAACUUCCAAACUGAGCAUUCCUAUUGGUUCACACCUUUCCCUUUCAACUCGUCAAGCUUAUCUCCUCCCACUCCUCCAUCGUUCACUCCCCCUUCCCCUUCCUCUCUCCCUCCCUCCCUCCGCUCCAGCAGUGGCAGCCCGACCUGCCUCCUAGGACGGUGGUGUGCGGGGCUCGGGCAUCCCUGGCCUCUAGUGGCGUGGCAGGGCGGCCUCCAGCAGCGAUGGCGGAACUCGGCCUCCGGUGGCGCACAGGCAGCGCAGCCUACCUGGUCAAAGGCGGCGCAACAGGGCGACCUCCCCAGCCUCCGGCGGCGCGCAGGGCAUCCAUGACCUCCCCGGCCUCCCUUGCCAGAGGUGGUGCGCGGGGCUGCGCCGACCUCCCCAACCAGAGGUGGCAAGGCCCCAGCUUACGGCGGCGCGUGGCUCCCCAGCUAGGGUGUGGUGGGGCGGCGGCAAGUCAGGCGUGGCCGCGUGGGGGUGGGGGGAGGGGGUUGGGCUGGGCGGAUUCAGAUAGUAUCCAUUUAACCAUCCGAAAUGUGGAUAUCCGUUUAACAAUCCGUUUAGCAAAACCGAAUUUGGAUACUUCCACUUAAGUAUCCAACUAGGAUUCGAAUGCGGAUGGUCCUACCAUAUUGUUAUUUCAGCGGAUACGAAUAUGGGAUAAUUCGAAUAACGACUUACCCAUCCCUGAUUAUAUCCGUGUAAAUAAAUAAUUGCGGCAGCAGGUUCCCGUCGCCACGCCCCCGUCAAACCAAACAAUUGCUUGCGCGACACCGUGUUACUAGAUCUUGUACAGUACUCCCUCCGUUGCAGUACUCCCUAAUGAAAGUUGAGAAUCGAUCGACAACCACGGCUAGUUGCUAUGCACUCGAUCAGAUGGUCCAGGCGCCCGCUGGUAAUCAGGUCGUGGUUCACGCGCAUCAGGCCAGCUAUGACGUUGCCAGCAGUGCUCAGUACACAAAUCUAGCUAUCAGUCGGAUCCAAUUGGGCAGGCAUUUGCACUGUGGUUGUGUUUGAACCUGUAGAUGUCGUUGUCAUUAUCAGGCACCAUACAUCCUCUCUCAGAGGGUGUUUCACCCCCUAAACUUUAGCCCCUCUCACAUCGAAUGUUUUAGAUACUAAUUAGGAAUAUUAAACAUAGAAAAUUUACUAAACCCAUUACAUGGAUGGAGGGUAAACGGCGAGACAAAUCUAUUAAAUCUAAUUAGUCCAUGAUUUGACAAUGUGCUGCUAUAGUAACUAUUUGCUAAUGAUGGAUUAAUUAGACUUAAUAGAUUUUUCUUGCUGUUUAGCCUCCGUCUGUGCAAUUAGUUUUAUAAUUAAUUCAUAUUUAGUCCUCCUAAUUAGUCUCCGAAUAUUUGAUGUGACACGGACUAAACUUUAGAUAGCACACCAGGGACCGACACCAUGCAUGCUGAUUUCAUAUCAUAAUUAAGGAAAGUGAUAUCAUAAUUAAGGAAAGUGGUAGCAUCCAAGAAAUCGAUCAUGUUUCUUCCCCCUUUGGCUUUCCUACUAGGAUUUGGAUAGCGGGCCUUCCUACUAGGAUUUGGAAUCCGCUAUCGCAUGACUAUCUUAAUUAUGUCCCAUAGUCCAAAACUCACAAAACAUCAAAAAUCCAUCGAGAAUAAAUUAAGUAAAAAACAUGCGCACACAGAUAAUAAUAAUAAUAAUCAUGUUUCAAUAAAAUUGCUAAGAUUAGAGAUAGUACAUAAACAUAUUAGAUUGUUCGUGACACAUAUCAUGGUGGAUAGUGUCUGUGUCCUUAUUACAAGCAGCGAUAGAUGCUUGUCACCACACACACGCACGCACAGAUGCACGACAUACAUAUAGUUGAGACCAACGGAUGGACGUCCCAUAGGGUGAAUAAUUUAUUGGAGAUAAAUAUUAACAUAACUUGGCCAUAGCUUGAAGCAUAGCAACAUAUGCUUAUGAAUGGCAUUCAUGCGGGUAGCAAUGCUAUCAUAUGCUUUUAGGCUUGUCCUUAGCUUCUUCCAUCUUAUAGCAAACACUGCCAUUUCUUCCAUCUUAGCAGCAACUGUCAAAUUAAUUGAGAUAUGGAAAUCCCAUUAGCGCAUGAGUUAAUUUUGCAGUGGAAAUAGAGUAGAAGAUGUCUUCAUAAUGUAAGUAAUAUGACUCUGACAUAGGGAGUGAAGUCAACAAAUUACAUUAACGGAAAUGCAUGGAAGGCCACGCAUAUGUAUUAGUCCGAUAUGCUACAAAGCUUGUAUGUACAUAUAAUAAAUUAAAUGCAUUGAAUAGAGUGAUUUUAGUGAAUUUACCUAAAUCGGAUUAAAAAACAUGGGAAACAACAAGUGUUCUUGUAGGGCUUUGUUUAGUUCCCAAAUUGGGAGUAGCAAAGUUUGCAUUUUACCAUAAAUGCGCAACUAUAGCAUGUAGCAUUUUGUUUGUAUUUGUGAAUUAUUAUCCAAACAUUGACUAAUUAGGCUCAAAAGAUUCAUCUCGCAAAGUACAACAAAACUGUGCAAUUAGUUUUUGAUUUCGUCUACAUUUAGUACUCCGUGCAUGUACCGCAAGUUUGAUGUGAUGGGGAAUCUUGCUUUUCAAUAGUGACAAAGUUGGGAUUUCGGGGGGAAGGCCUGUGUCGGAGCCACAUGCAAGAAUGGCUGACAUUGAGGCUCAGACAAAGCCCAAUGGCAACUGCUGACAUGCGAUUAAAUUUAGAUAUCCACAUCCAGCCAUUCACAUUUAUGAGAUAUGGACACGGUGCAAAUGGGUGGGGUCCUGAUAUGGAGGUGCGAAUGGCUGUCUACUUGUAUAGUGUAGCUCCAAUGUACGUAUAUGUAUCUUAUGCAUGUAUACAGUUGCACAAACUCUGAACCAACUCUUCAUAACAGGUCUUUGUUACCAAGUAACUUUACUUUUGCACGUUUCAGCCGAGAGGUAGAAGAGAAUAUUUUUGCAUUUUCCAUGUGCGUCAGUGGUAGAGAACUAGGAAUUAGUUCCGGAUGGUAGGGCACAAAUCUUCCAAACAACUAUCCGAAAUUAAGCAAUCGAGAUAAAGGGUGCCAUCUAUUCUCUCCGAAAAACACAGGUACCAAAAAGAAGAAGAGAAGAGGGAGGGCCUCCCGUUAAGGCCCGCUCGGGGUCUCCAUCCCACCACGCGCCCUCCCAACCCAAAGCCCAUCGUUUUCCCUCCGUCCCUCCCCUCUCCAUUGCCGCCGCCGCUCCCCUCAUCCGAGCUCGAUACGGGUGGUCGGCGGCCCCUCCUCUCCGCUCCCGCCCCCGGCCUCCCUUUGACCGCCGGGCGCCGGCAUCACUGCCGCGGCCAACCCCAGGGCGCAGCGCGUGCCUCUAUUUCUCUCCCCCGUUCAAGGGCCCUUUGAUGGCGACGAGCACCCACCCACCAGGUAUGCCCUCCCCUUCUCUUCCUAACCCUAAUAUAUUCGGAUCUCACCCAGUCACAAUAUAUUACCUAAUAGCUUCGAUUUUGUUUGCAAAAAUCAUCACGUGCGCACCCAUGUCCGCUAGAUUCUUGCGCCUGAUCCUGUGCUGCUAUGGUUUGGGCGGGGUAGACUAGUUGAUUCGUGCACUUUUGGGUGCUUGUAGUGCUAGGUUUUGGAGGGGGAUAGCCCAGUUGAUUCCUCCGUUUUGGGUGCUCAUGGUGAUAGGAUUUGGAUGGGGAUAGCCCCAAUGAUUCGUGCGCCUUUGGGUGCUGGGGAUAGUUUUGGGUGCCUGGAUAGUCCAGUUUCAAUGUCAGUAUAUGCGUAUUUUGGGGAGAAUUUUGUUUUGGGUGGUUCUGGUGCUAGAGUUUCUGAUGCUUAGUAGCCCAGUUUCAAUCAAAUUCCCCCAUGGGUCGUGCACUACGGGAAACAAGAAAAUUGCCGAGUGUAUUUUUUUUGUCGAGUGUUUUUUUUCGAGCACUCAGCAAACAAGCUCUUCGCCGAGUGCCAAGUCAAAAACACUCGGCAAAAAAAAACACUCGGCAAAUCGGGGCUUUGCCGAGUGUCAAAUAAAAAACACUCGGCAAAGAAGGGGGUUUGCCGAGUGUUAAAAAAAACACUCGGCAAACAGGAGGGUUUGCCUAGUGUUUUUUUGACACUCGGCAAAAAAAUAAUUGUUUUUCCUCUUUUCACCUUGAAAUUUUUUCUACUCCCCACAUACAACACGUGGUACUCCAUGUUAAAAUUUGGUAUAUUUUUGGAUUUAUUUGCUAUAUUUAUUUAAUUAAUUGCAUUACAAGGAAAUUUUUGGUAUAAGUCAAAUUUGAACUGCAAGUGAUUCAAAUUGUGGAACAAAAUGAGUAGAAAAAUGAUAUUCAUGUUAUUUGGCUCAAUUUGAGACCUGACCCAUGAAAUGAAAAGAAAUUUCGAACAUCUUGUUCAGGAAACACGACAAUGAACAUGUGGCGGUAGUAUUUUUAAAUUGUAAAAAAAACAAGCAAAGUCUGAAAAUCAUGAGAUUUGUAGUUAUGUGAUGAUAUAAUACGUGGAAGCUGUGGAAAAAAAUUGGAAAGGUUUUGCACAUUUCAUCAUGUACGAUGAUUACAAACCGAAGCAUAUCAGAAGAAGAAUAGUAACUUUGAGAAGGAUUCGAUAAAAUUUAGAGUCGAAGUGACGGUCGAGUUCGGUUUGACUACAAAACUUUUUGUAUAGUCAGUAGAGAACAUAUCUUAUUUCGUGUGAAAAUUUGGUAUUUUUUGAAACUGUUGGAUAUUUUUAAUUUUUUUUUAAAAAAACUUUGCCGAGUGUCCUAGGGUAGACACUCGGCAAAGAAAAACUUUACCGAGUGCCCGCCUAGGACACUCAGCGAACCUUUUUUUAAACCUACCGGCUCCGGCCGGCCCAGCCCACAAACACCACCCGCCCCCCGCCCCCGCGCCUUCUUCCUCACGCCGCCCCCGCCCCCCACCCGUGCCUCCGGACCGCCCCCUCCUCCCCCUGGCCUCCCCUCACGCCGCCCCCCUCCUCCCCUAGCUCCCUCCACCGGCGGCCCUCCCUCCCCCGGCGCACAUCCUCCACUCCUCCUCCCCUUCCCUUCCCUCCCCUCCCCUCCCCUCUUCCUCCCCUGGCCGGAUCUGGCGCCCCUAGCUCCCCUUUCUUCCGCGGCCAGAUCUGGCGCCCUCCCGGCGGCGGGUCGUGGCGAUCGGGGCGGCGGCGGCGGAUCAGGCCGCGGGGCGGCGGCGGCGGCGGGUCGUGGCUACCGGGGCGGCGCCCUGCCCCUCCCCUCCCUCUCCAUCUCCGGCUGCCGUCCACCCCCUCCCCGGAUCCGCCCCCCUCCCCUCCGCGCGGCCAGCCCCUCCUCCCUCUCCGGCCGCCGCCCCGGCCCCUCCUCUCCCUUUCUCCGGCCACCGCCCCGCCCAUCUUCUCUGGAUCCGGCCGGAUCCGGCCGCCGCACAGCCCCUCCUCCCCGGAUCCGGUGGGCGCGGACUUCGUGGUGGUGGCGCCGGAUCCCUCCCCUCCCUCUCCAGAUAACUCCCUCCACUCCUCCGCUCUUCCCCUCUCUCGCGCGGCGGCCUCUCUCCGGCCGCCGCCCCGCCCCUCUCCCCGGAUCCGGGGGGGGGGGGACUCCGCCCCUCUGCCCCGGAUCCAGCUCCCCGACCCGCGAGUGGGGCGAGCUUGCUCAUGCGGUCGACGUCGAGGCCAGGGUGUGGUGGAGGUGGUGGCCGGCGGGUGUGGUGGUGGUGGCGGCGGCGGGCAUGGCGGCGCGGAGGCAAGGCACGGCGGCCGGUGGGAGGCACGGGUGCAAGGCGUCGACGGCAGGAGGCAAGGCACGGCAGCAUGGGAGGUGGUGCUGUGGUGGUGGUGCUGGCGGUGGUGGCGGCGGCGGAGCAGGAUGUGGUGGUGGCGGAGGAUGUUUUUUUUUCAAAAAUUUGUUGCCGAGUGUUUUCUCGGCACUCGGCAAAGACUUUACCGAGUGCCCGACACAAAACACUCGGCAACUCAGUGUUUGCCGACUGAAAAAUUGCCGUGUGCCGUUUGCCGAGUGUUACACUCGGCAAACGGUUCGCCGAGGGUUUUUUGCCCUUCGCCGAGUGCCCCUAGCACUCGGCAAUUUCACUAUCUCCCGUAGUGGUGGCUGGACUUAUGGGGGGAUCAUUGAUGGGGGACUAGUUGGAUACUUUUUGGCUGUUUUGGGAGUCCUUGGCAGCGGCUUCUCAGGGCGUACGUAGCCCAUUGUAGAUUCCAGCCGAGAAGAUUAAGGAAUUGUGACUGCAACCAUGUUACUUUUCUAGGACUCUGUUUCUGAUAUUGUUCCCGCUGCAUCUUUUCAUCCCCAUGGUGAAUGUUGCUGUUGAUCUGUAGAUUGGAUUUGUUCCUCGGUAGCUUUAUUAGAUUUGUGCUGAAUGAUAAUCUCUGCCUGUGAUAUUUUUCUUCAUUGCGGAUGUGUGCCGAGUAUUAUCCCCUUUGUUCAUUCUGUUGGCUUUUUUUAUUGUCUCUGUACUCGGCUGUUCAGCUUGUGCAGCUAAUGAUCUAAUGUAUUUUGUCGUAACUAUGUAUUUUUCGGAUGUGUGCCGAGUAUUAUCCCCUUUGUUUAUUCUGUUGGCUUGCUUUCAUUGAUCUUAAGAUAACUGGUGCUAUAAAUUCACACUAGCUGAUGCACUUGCAAAUAGCUAUGUAAAUAUGAAAAGAAGUAUUUUUUUAUCCUUUUGUUUGUUUGGCAUCAUAUCUGUUUAAAUGGCAUAGCAAUAAGAAUUUUUUGUUUUUGGGGAAUCAUAUCUGCUUAAAUGGUAUAGAAAAUGCUGAGUGCACUGUCAAAUAGAUUUUCCAGCAGUCUGCUUUCAGUUGUUUUUGCAAAUCCUCACAGGCCAGUGAACUGACUUUGUUUUUACCACCCCAUGCCAUUUAAAUGACUAAAUCAGUCAGCCUAAUACUAUAUAUGGUCAUGCUAUGAUCUUAUUUCUUGAAGCUCUAUAGGUCAACCCAUAAGGGUAACUUAGUUUUUCCUAUUCUGGCUGGGGAAGUGGAUACGAUGGCUAUCCUUGGUAGAGUUAAAUACAUUGGCGGCUCUUAGCGCGCCAAUGUGGCACCACAAUAUCGAACAUAUGUAGAAACCCCCUUGUUUUUUCUCAUAUCCCUCUCUCUCAGCGUCCUCUUCUCUUCUUCUCCUCUGUCUCCUCCCCUCCCAUCGCGUGCUUUAUUGCGCCGCCGCCAUCCGCCUCCAUGUAUGAACACGUCGUUUGUCAUGAAGAAGCAGUUGAUGAGGCAAUCAAGCAUGUGGUGCACAAGGUUCUUCUGCUGGCCAAGUCCGAGUCGAACAGCCGCGCAUUCAUUGGGGAAGCACGCGCCAGGCAUCACCAGGCUCCUCGUGCCCCUACUCUGCUCCAAGGACUCGGUGCUUCGACGCGCUGCUUUCCCUGUCCGGCGAGCGGGGAUCGUUGGGAGAUGAUCGAUGGAGGAUGGAGCUGAUCCUCCUGUACACGGUGCCGGUGGGGAGCAGGGAGCUGCGGAGCAGGUCCACGGGCGGCGCCAUUACAGCAGGUGCAGGCUAAGGGUAAUGAGCAGAUCGAGGCGAUGGAGGAGGACCCGCACGAGGUGCAGCUUCUUCGCCUCCUGCGCAAAGUCAGCGCCCAAGCAGCCGCUGAGGGACAGGCCGAGGCUUAGCUCGAUCUCAUCCGACUAAAUGGUGGCUGCACUCCCACAGUCCCACUGGUGCUCCUCCCUUCUGUCCGAACCUGCCGAGGAAAUCCCUCGAUGCCAUGGGUCCCGGCUGGACGACUACUCCUCCCACAGAUUGACUGAGGAAGAAGAGCUUCUCAGUGUCCAAAAAUUCAGUUACACUGGAAACAGCAACCAAUUACGUUCUUCCGGCUCAGCCAAGCCCCAAUCUCCUUGCUUCUGUGCGCCCCUGCUAAAUAUUCCAGAAACCAAUCUGGUUAGUUGUUUUUUCACAUUUUCAGUGCAUGCCGGUGCUGCUGUGUGCGGCAUGCAUGGAGUUGUCGUGGGAGUGCACGGUGGCUUAGCUGGUGCGCCAGUGCGCGGGCACGAACACAACGGUGAAGAUGGCAGGGCCAUCUCAAAGCUCCUGAGCACCUGCACGCGUCGCUGAGCAGGACAUGCUGCGACGGUGGGCGAGCGCUGCUAACGCCCUGGGGAAGAGCAGUGGGUGCAGAGAGAGGGAGCGAGGGAGAGGGGUUCUUGUAUAUGUUUGCUAGCGUGGCACCGUUUACGGUGCCCGCCUAAGUGGCAUUCACGUGUCAUUCAUCCCAAAUGGUGUUGCAAGGUUGAACCUAUUGUGGGAGGCUUUUGGUUUCCCUUGACAGUAUCACCAGUGAUAUCACUGCGUUCUGGUUAUGUAUGAAACACUUGUCCUUUUAAAACCUUUCUGAAUUUAGAAACGAAUUUGAAACAUUACCCUCAUUUCCAUGUUUUUCUAUCUUUUGUCCCUGUAAAAUCAAACUAAAUUUGAAUUAUUAUGUUCAGAACUACAAGCUGAUUUACUUGUCCCAUUUGCUAAUAACAGGGCCUUGUGAUUUCUAAUGAACAUUGCAGAGCAUGUUAUAAAGCGUAUGCAUGAACACCAAGGGGAUGAAACCAUUGGUAUAUUUCUCACAACCUUUUGAACUUAUCAUUUAGCAUAUUUGUGUUCUAGUGUGACGUUUCAGCCACGAGACAUGAGAAAUGUUAGCUAUGGAUUUUGGUUAUUCAUCAUGGGUUCACAGAUUUGUUUUUCUCUAAAAGAAUUGGGAAGUAGCUUUCUUUCUGGGUAUAUGUGGGGAAAUGCAUAUGCAAUCUUUUAUUUAUUGAGGUGACUGUAAAAUUCUUGUCUGACUGAAUAUGCGAUUUCAACCUACAUGCUAUACUUAGGGAAAUUUGUGAAUCUCCUAAUGUCUGCUGCAUGGCAUGAAUGCAUAUUUUACUGGUCCAUAAUGUGAAGUUCUGUAUAUAAACUUCUCGUGUUGACCCUUUAGAACAUGCUAACUGGAGAGUUUUCUAGAGUAGUUAAACAAGAGAUUUAGUUAAAUCUGCACACAUAGGUGGGGCCUGGCAUACCCUAAGAAUCGGCCUAGCCGGUCAGCCCAUUAGUAAAAAAAAAAGCACCGCAGUCAGCAGUCCCCACGUUGGUCUUCCUCGAGUCGCGACUCGCGAAGCUCCCAUCCUCCGAGUCCAAGAUGGUGGACUGUGUCGAGCGCGGGGCGGGCGAUUAGUUGCCCGGCCGCCGGCGGGGGAUGGCCGGACGGCCAGAUCGCCGACUCCUCUAGUCCUCCCUCCAGCCUCUGCGCUUCUUUCACAGUGGAGCUAGCGGCGAGGCGCCCGACCGACACCCUUCUUCCCAAAUCCCGGCAGCCCUACCUCGAUUUGGCCUCCUCCGAUCAUUUGAUAAUCAAUUUGAUGAAAUUAAUAUGGAGUUGCUUUCUUGUAUGGUUGCCUUCAAUCCUGCUAAUUCAUUUGCUUCAUUUGAUGCACAAAAGAUACAUAGACUUGCUAUAUUUUUAUCCACAAGACAUCACAAGCACGGAUUUGCUAAAACUUGAAUUCCAGCUCGAUAUUAUAUUGAUGAUGUGAGAUAGGAUGAUAGUUUCAAAGGCCUACAAGAUCUUGUUAACUGAGACUCAGUUAAGCUUGUUGAAACAAACAGGCAUAAUAUUUAUGACUUGGUUUACUUGCUUCUCAAAUUGGUAUUGGUUCUUCUUGUGGCGACAGCUAGUGUUGAAAGGGAUUUUUGUGCAAUGACUUUGAUCAAGAGUAAGCUAAGAAAUAAGAUGGGUGAUAGUCUUUUGGAUGAUUGUCUUAUCACAUUCAUUGAGAAAGAUAUUUUCUUUGAAGUGGAUGAAGAAGAUAUAAUUAAGACUUCAUAUCCAUUAGAAAUCGUAGGCUGGAGAAGAAGUAAUAUUUUAAUUUUCUUUGAACGUUAGGUCUGUAAGCUUCUUUUAAACUAUCUACAUUAUAAUUUAUGGACCUUUUAAUUUAACCGUUGAAUUCAUGAUAUUAUGAGAUUUUUUUAUCUAUGUUAUUAUUGUUUACCGAUUUAUUACCAAAUUAUUAGUUUGAUCUUACAAUAUUGUAUUUUGGAUGAUUGGCUCGGCAUACUCUAAGUUUAAAUCCUAGCUCCGCCACUGUUUGCACAUUAAUGUGGCUUAUAUGUGUGGAGUCACUUAACCUAUGCACUUGGACCUCCACUCCCUUAGGUUUUAUGAACCUAAUUUGACAGCCUGCUCGUCUUUUAUUUUCUACCAAUCAGCUAGGAACGAACAUGGUGAUGUUUGCAUCUCUGCCAUCAAUGGCUUACAUGUCAUUAUGUAUCACAUUAGCAAGUCUUGUUUUGUUAUUGGCUGGGAUGACGGGGACUCUAGCUGGAAUUGAAUCAAAGUGGUAGAUCACAGGGUAUUCAUUGCCAUGUAUUUCUGCAGUUGCAUGGACUUGCAUCAAACGGACCUUCCUACUUAUGUGAUUGUCCUAUAUGAUCUCCUUUGAUUUCAUUUGCACACUGUAAUCACAUUAGCUAGAACACUCGCUUUUUGCUUCAAAUUUGAAAUUCAUAUCAUGAUGGACUAGAACGCUGAAUUUCUUGAUUGCUGAGUUACUAAUCACAUUGUGGCGCUGCCAAAGAAGCUGGACUCUUCAUUGUUGUUGCCUUGUGGGCUGCCGUGUGCAAAGAACAAGAGCGCACGGUAUUAUAAUAGCAGAGCAGAACACAGACAAGCGACAAGGAGCGGAGCAGAGCAGAGCACAGCCAGGCACAAGCAGUAGAGUAGAGCAGAGCAACCGGGAGAGGAGAGGGCACAUAUGCAGAGUAGAGCAGAGCCAAGCGCAAGCAUUCAUGCACUCAAGCAUGCAGCAGAGGUGUAGCAAGGCAAGCACAAGCAGCAGAGCAGAGGGAAGGGAAGGCUGGGAGAUGAAUAGGCGAAUAGUUACCUGGACAGAGCAGAGGGAAUGGAGAUGAUGCAGAUGCUUCCGGAGACUCGAGAUUUGGAGAGGAACAAGGCCACGUUGUGAACAAGGUCUCCUUUCUCUUCUCUAUUUCCCGCGCAAGUACUUGUGCAUAGUGGCUGCCUCAUCCUCCAGGACGUCCACUUCAACCUGAGGCGGGUGCCACAGACAUCCUGGCUAUGCGACGGCUACCCCCAGCACACCCCCGGCGCCUAUGAACCAUGAUCCUAAUACUAUAAAUUGUCAACCUUGUAAUCUUAUUUCAAGCAUGCUCUCUAUGUCAACCUGUAAGGUUAACUUCGUUUUUCCUUUUCUGGGUAGGGGAGUGGAUAUUGCUGUUAUUUAUAUUAUGUUGAUAUUGGUUUCCACAUGUCAUUCACCCCAAAUGUGUUGCAAGGUUGAACCUAUCAUCGGAGGAAUUUUUUUCCCUUUACCUUUAUAUCACUACGCUCUGGUUAUGUAUGAAACACUUGUCUUCUUAAAAACCUUAAUUUAGAAACAAAUUUGAAACACUAUCUUCAUUUACAUCCUGUAUGUGUUUUCUACCUUUUGUCCUAUAUGAUCUGCUUUGAUUUGAUUUGUGCAUAGUUUUUUCAAUUCAGACCUGGUGAUUUCUGAGGUUCAUGUUGUGCUGAUAAGCAGCCUACUAUUCAGUAACACUUUCAUGUGGCAUGUUCAUGUUAGCUAGCUAGAAACACUGCUUUUAGCUUCAAAAUUCAAAUUCAUGACAUGAUGGACAUUGACAAUGAAUUUCUUGAUUGCCGAGCUAUGUACACUGUAAUUCAGACCUGGUGCUUUUAGUUUUUUUCUUGAUUGCCGAGCUAGAAACACUGUGCUUUUAGUUUUUUCAAUUCAGACCUGGUGAUUUCGGUUUUUUCAAUUCAGACCUGGUGAUUUCUGAGGUUCACGUGUCACACCGAUUUUAAGAACAAAAUCGAGUGCAUUAAAUAUACAUGUACGCUAGGAUCAGGUUACACACAUGUACGACAUAAGCGAAUAUCAAAGACAAUGCCAUAACGAAAUAAAGAGAGUAUUAAUCAUUAUUACAUGACCGAAAGUCUCAAAUAAACCACAAAAUCUAUUUAUUACAUAGCGGAACUUCUAAGAUAGCAACGUCUCCACAGGCAGCUGACUGAAGAACUGUAUGCCUAGAACUCUUCAAAAUCGUGCAGGUACUCCUCCAGAUUAGCUUGGUAUGAACAACGGUUUUGCAAGGGUGAGUACACUUAUGGUUGGUACUUAAUAAGUCGUGGGAAACAAUGUAGUGUAAGGCAAAUCAAGGUAUGGCUAAGGCUUAAACAGCAUCAGCUUUUAAUUUAGUUGGUCAAAUUUUAUUAGCAAUUAAUUAGACGUAAAUUUAUACCACCCGAAAUUAAACAAGAACAUGAAUAAAAUAAUAACAUAACCAUAAAUGAAAUGACAACAAUUUAAAUCCAUCUUUUCAUAGCAUUAUCAUGUGAGGGUCCAGUCCGUUCUUAACCGUGAGCACCGCUGAUCGAUCAGUUUUACACUCUGCAGAGGUUGUACAUCUUUACCCACAAGUCGCGUAAAAGUUCAAAAGAAUUUUGGACCCAACCAUGCGGUAUUUGCAAGGCACCAUACCACACUUCCAAGGUGUGAUUGCAUAUGAACGCUACGAGGCCUUUACAAAGAUUCAUUAGUAAGUGGUAACCCGCUAAGGUUUCGGUAUUUGGCGUGCACAACCUAUCACAGGCCGCUAAUGCAACGACUCAGUCCCCCCUCUUGCCUCAUCACGAGUAAGAUUACCCCAGACUAAGGUUUCUAAUUAUUCAGCCAAGAUCAGAACCAUUUAGUCUUGUGGUAGCACUGUUUUCCUGGGUGGUUCUCCAUGUUCCGAUUAAACAUAAUGGUCUUGUAUUAAUGGAAGGUAUAACAUAAAUAAUACCAAAUUAAUAAUAAUUCAGAUUAAAUCACCAUAACCAUAUUUGAGCACUAAGCAUGAGCUACCCAACAUAAAUUUAACCCGGUUGGUCAAGGCAAGGUAGAUAAAGUCUAGGAAAUUCUUAAUUGGGACCCAUCAAGUUUAAAUUAUACUUUGCAUGGUAUGUUGCAUAGAACAUGAAAGUAAAUGUGAAUAGGACUGAAAAGGAGUGAUUAGGGACACGACUUGCCUUUUUAACCUUGUUCUUGCUGUUCGUACUCUUCGAAAACUUUGAUCUUCAAAUCCCUUGAACUGCUGACCGUCUACACGCGUCACACGACCACAUACAAGCAAACAAAUAUAAUACAUAAGAAAACAGUACACCAAUCAUAAUUAAAUAGAAGAAACAAAUUUGAAAAGCUAUUCUACGCAUUAAAACGAAAACACGGAUACAAGGAACGUUAAAAACGGAGCUACAGUGCAAAAACUACGCUUAAAACAAGAUGCAGGGGUAUAACUACGAGAAACCAAACUUCCAGGGAUUUAAUUUUAAAUAAUUUUGAACUGCAGAAGGGGCAGCAGGGCAAAACGUAGAAAAUGCAGGGGCUUAAGCGCAAAAGCAUGGCUGCUGACUCAGCUGACUUGAUGUGGAUCGUCGGAUGGCGAUCCGGCGGCCGGCAGCUGCUGCGCUGACGUCAGCGACGGCGAGCGCCGGCGAAAAACGGCAGUUCGCCGGAAUCGCCCGGGAACGCGCGACUGGGUGCAGAUUUGAGCGAGGAUUAGACUAGCAGAUAGAAACGAGCGCAGUGAACUCAUUUGGGAUGCCUACGGCGAGGACUUGGCGACGGCAUCGGCUCCGGCGAGAACUUGCGGCAGGGAAACCAAAUAAAAUAAAAUAACACGGUUCAGAGAAGCGGCGCUGGAGGAACGCGAGCGAUUUUGCGUGCGAGCGGAAGAAAACACUGCGAGGAAGAUGACUGCGGGCCCUGCUUGUCUGCGGCAGGAGGAGAGCUGCGUGCGAGAAGAACCUGGCCACGAUCUGGGCCGUUGCCUUCGAUCUGGGCCGAGGCAAGCUAGCUGGCCCGCUGCUGCGGAAAGGUGCUGGGCCACGGGCGGAGCACAGCGUCGGGCCAGAAAGGAGAUGGCUGCUGCGAGGAAACAAAAGAAAAUGAACUGGGCUGCGACAGAGGAAAACUGGGCGUCGGCCAGAAAGAAGCUGCGUGCAGCUUGCUCUUGUUUCCGAACUAGAAACAGGAACUGACGGAAAGACAGAAAUCAAUUGGAGACUGAAACUGACGCCCCAGACUCUGAACUUCGAAAAAACAGGACAACCAGCCAACUGACAGAAAAAAAAAAGCUUAACAACCCAAAAGCAGUACACAACCACGAAACCAGGCCACAAGACUGAAAAAGCUUGAUAGGAACAUCUGGCGACUGAACCAAAAAACUACAGAACUGCAACUGAAGAACUAGAGAACAGAUAAAUAACUGAUUGAACUCUGAAACUGAAACACCAAAGAGCAGGAAGCUGACUGACGGAAAAUGCAAAACAGCAACCCAAGGUGAAACACAAAUUCUUCUUCAAGCAUUCAAACAAAGAGAUAUGCAACAGCAUGAAUGCUCAAUAAAAUCCUAUAUUUCAUUAAUUAAUUAGAAAAAAUGCUCAAAUGCCUAGAAAAAUGCAAAAGUGACCUUAUAUGCCUUAAACAAGCAAAUUCGUUUCUAGCGAUUUUUGGUAAAAUGCAAAAUUAGAGAUUUUGGGUGUUACAUCAUGUUGUGCUGAUAAGCAGCCUACUAUUCAGUAACACUUUCAUGUGGCAUGUUCAUGUUAGCUAGCUAGAAACACUGUGCUUUUAGCUUCAAAAUUAAAUUCAUGACAUGAUGGACAUUGACAAUGAAUUUCUUGAUUGCCGAGCUAUGUACACUGUAAUCACAUUGUGGGGCUGAUAAAAUAAGCAGCGUUGAGACACAUAACAAUUGAAUCUUAAGCUUCACACAGAAUCUGGACCAGUCAUCCUCAUUCCUGUCAUGCUGGAAAUGUCUUUGAUACAUUUCAAUCACAGGCAAUUGAAUUCGUACUGGGGAGGAUGGCAAUGGUGCAUGAAGAGAGAUCAAUGUGGCAAAUCUCACAUUGUUCAUUACCAGGUAUCUCCGAUUUCUGGUUAUUUUAAAUUUACCUUGACAUGUGACUUAUUGAGGUAUUGUAUUUCAUCUAAUGGUAGUUCUGAAUUUAUGGUAACCUUGGAUGGGGUUUGUCACUUUAUACACGCACGGACUUACAAAGGACAGCAAAUGAGUAUAUUUAGAGGGCUCCUGUCCAACCAUGGACUAUACUUAUGUACCCUUUUUUGACAUGGUAAUUUGAGGUUAAUGGAAAAGUAGCGAUAGUCGCCUCCAGCGAAGCUACCUUCUUCGAAAGCUCCGAGGCUGCUUUCUCGCUCUUAGCAAGCCGAUCCCUCGUAAUCAUCGAAGAGUAAGAGACCUACAGAUUUUAAAAACCAAGUUACCAAAAAUAACGAAGUAAAAGACAACACUCGCAAGACAAACCACCAAACUAUCUCAUAAUUGUACCUUCUUUACGAGGUUCGCCUCCAAGUUAAAGAGCUCUUCCAAGAUCAUUGACUUCACAGCUUGCUGAAAAUCUAUGCGCCAAAGGAUAUAGUCGUAAGCAUAAAAUAAAAAUUGGUAAAAACCAAGGACAGCAAAGCCAUCUACAAGCUGUUCUUACCCUCAUACUUUCGCACCUCAACGGCGAUCGGAACAACCUUCUCUCUAGCCUCGCCCUUAGACGCCACCACAAUCUUCCCGCCACACAAAUCCACAACCCCUCCUUUACCUUUGCCCUCUCCCGAAGUCGUCGUGCCCGCCUUCUCCACCCUUUUUGAACCGCCAACAUCUGCAUAGCGCUCGCAACCUUCACCUUCAGCCCCCCAGACCAAAGACAGGUUGUGAGGAUUAUAAACCCUACCUUCGGCGCAUGUAGCUAGAAUCUCCGUGCGCCCGCUCAAGCCCAGACACUCAUUCAGUCCCUGAAGCCCCGCCGGCAACCUCUCACCUACAUCAUAACAUUCAACUUUUAGCCUCACAUGAUCCUCACAACUAACCUUACCAACGCCCCCCAUAGUUUCUUCCAAGUCCUUCAAAAAUUUCGUUGAGGCCUCACCACAAUCAAAGAACCGUAGCAUCGAUAGAAACACCUCUACAUGCUUACCAGAUCUCACAGCUUCGGCACACCCACCCUUUGGAUCAGAUGAGAACGCAUCCACAAGCUUCGCCUUUUCGGUGGCAAACCCCCUCUCAAGUUUCCCAACAUCAGUCAAGAGAUGUUGCGCGCUCUUAAACUUCGAGCUUAUGGAAGGCACCGUGAUCUUGGUACCAGCUGCCGAAGACGCGUCAACCUUGGCACCCGUAACAGUAACAGGAGCAAAUCGAGGUUUCUUGGCGCCUCUUUUGAUCCGUGCGGCGGGCCCGGUGGAUGAAGGUGCAAGAGCUGGAACCUCCUUAGGAGGGCGCAUAGAGACAGGAACAACAUAUGCCGGAUUGCUCAAGUCGCCAGACGAAGCUGUCGACCACGAUGGCAACAUAGCAGACGAAGCCCCCGCGGUCAUUUCCUUCCUUUUUUGCGCCUCCAAAUUCAAGGUCUUUUGCUUCGCCUUAGCGGUCACUUGCAAUUCAAUAGUGAGCUUCACCAUGGGUACGAAGUCAAAUUUUGCCUUUUUCCUCUGCUCAAGACUAGCACCGCGACGGCGCCUCUUGCCCGUAACUUUGGGGUGAGGCAGAACCACAAUAUCAUACAAGUCAAAAAUCUAAGAUGAUGACAUUCCAUUUGUAUCCAUGAUUUAUAUUGUGUUCCUUGAAUAUCCAUUAAAGUCUACUUGAAUUGAUUUGCAAUUAUGUGAAUUGUAUGUGAAACUCUUUCCUUGUAUGGUUAUUCUAAAGUUGUCCCUAGUCGGAGUUCAUGUGAGGACACAUGAAUAUUAGACUAGCACAUGUAUUAGUUGAUGACUAUGUUUCACAAGUCAUGGACAUGAAGAUGUGGAACUAAUAAUGUGGGCACAUGUGGAGACACGUGCUAGGACUGACCCAACACGAGAAGUAGUUCUCUCUUUAUACAACAUAUACGCUUUGUCCUUAGACCUGAGAUUGUCGCAUGUACUCAAGAUGUGGAUCGACUUACUUAGGGGCUAUCAAAUUCUACGCCGUAACAGGGUAGUUAUAAAGGUAGCUUUCGGGUUUGUCAAGAAGCAUGCUAUGAGACAUGGUCAAUCAAGAUGGGAUUUGCCCCUCUCUGAUUGAGAGUGAUAUCUCUGGGCCCCUCGAGUGAUCGGAUCCGAAAAUGCAUGGCCAUGCUACAUACGAUUAAGAGUUAGCCUACAAAAGGAUUCCGAAUCAUAGGAUCGAGAAAGAGCGGUCGGCUUGAAGCUAGACCAAAUAUCGUGAGGCAAAGGGAAUAGCAUGUAUAUAAUGUUGUGAUGGUUCGUCUGAUAUGAUCUUCGUGUGCGUAUAGGAGUUGGCACGUCUUGCUAGAGGUCGCUACCGACUAUUGGGCCGAGUAGGAGUACUCAGGCCAUGUCUAUACGUAUCCGAACCCAUAGGGUCACACACUUAAGGGGCUGGAAGCCCAAUUCGGAUGUGAUCCGAAUUGGAUUAGGUUUAGAAGUACUAAUGGGCCUUGGACCUAGAGGCCCGUUAGGAACCUCUAUAAAUAGAGGGGUGGGGGCGCCCUAGGGUUUACACCUUUUUGGUGAAACACAUCUGCCGCGCCUCCCACGCCUUCGCCUGUUGCAACUCGCGGACCUAGCAGUCCGGCUUGCGACGCUUCCUCCCUGCACGUGUGGAUACCUUGGAAGUGUUGCUCCUGCAGCACUUGGACGAGCCGCCAACGAGCCACGACGAGCCACGAUGAGCCGACGAUGAGCCGCGGCACGAGGGGGAUCUUGCUGCACGUGGACGAGCUGCUGAGGAGCUGCUGGACGUCGAUGUGUUCGACUACGUACGACUACGCUGAUCGACUUCGCUGCAUCAACGCGAAUCUACAUCUUCCGCAUCAUUGCAUCGAGUGGUAAUCCCGUGAUCCUGAUACGGCAGUUUUCCUAGUUUACGCGGUAGAAAAUUUUGUUUUGUGCUAGUGUAGCCUAACUCAUAUCCCAACAACGUGUGCUAUAGGUCACGCAAGCCUGAAAAUGGCCACACCGGACACCGGGUACGAAAACAUGGGGGAUGGACCGAACAUUUGAAAAUGGCCUCCAUAUGUGUUUUCGGCUAUGAAAAUGUGUGUUAUAGGUCACAGAAGCUUGAAAACGGCCGCACCAGCCACUAGGGACGAAAACGUGGGGGAUGGACCAAAGACAUAAAAAAUAGCCUCCAGACGCGUGUUCGGCCAUGAAAACGUGUGGUAUAGGUCCUGGAAGGCCAAAAACAGCUACACCGGCCACCUGGGACGAAAAAGUUUGUGUAAGACCGAACACUUGAAAAUAGCCUCUGGACGCGUGUUCGGCUAUGAAAAGGUGUGUUAUAGGUCACACGAGCCCCAAAACAACCACAGCGAACACCAGCUACAAAAACAUGGGGGAUGGAUCGAAUAAUUGAAAAUGGCCUCCAGACGUUUGUUCGGCCAUGAAAUCGUGCGUUAUAGGUCGCGGGAGCCCGAAAACGGCCACACCGGCCACCGGGAAUGAAAAUGUGGGGGAUGGACCGAACAAUUAAAAAUGGCCUCCGGAUGUGUGUUCGGCCAUGAAAACGUAUGUUAUAGGUCACGGGAGCAUGAAAACGGCCGCACUGGCCACUGGGGACGAAACGUGGGGGAUGGACCGAAGACGUGAAAAUAGCCUCCAGACGCAUGUUCGGCCAUGAAAAUGUGUGCUAUAGGUCAUGCAAGGCCAAAAACAGCUGCACCAGCAACCGGGGACGAAACCAUGGCUGUCAAACCGAACGCUUGAAAAUCGCCUUCGGACGCGUGUUCGGAUAUGAAAACAUGUGUUGUAGGUCACGCGUGCCCGAAAACGUCCACAACGGACACCGGGUACAAAAACGUGGGGGAUGGAUCGAAUAACUGAAAAUGACCUCCGAACGCGUGUUCGGCCAUGAAAACGUGUGUUAUAGGUUGCGGGAGCCCAAAAAUGGCCACACCGGCCACCGAGGAUCAAAACGUGGGGGAUUGACCGAACAAUUAAAAAUGGCCUCCGAUUGUAUGUUCGGCCAUGAAAACGUGUGUUAUAGGUCAUGGGGGCCCAAAAAUGGCCGCACCAGCCACCAAGGACGAAAAUAUGGGAGAUGGACCAAAGACAUGAAAAUGGCCUCCAGAUGCAUGUUUGGACAAAAGUGUGUGCUAUAUGUCGUGCAAGGCCAAAAACAGCUACACCAGCCACCGGGACAAAAACGUGGGUGUUUGACUAAACAAGUGAAAAUGGCCUCCGGAAGCAUGUACGGCUAUGAAAAUGUGUGCUAUAGGUAAUGGAAGGCUAACAAAAGCUACACCGGCCACCGGGGACAAAAUCAUGGGUGUCAGACUGAACACUUCAAAAUGGCCUCCGGACGCGUGUCCGGCUAUCAAAACGUGUGUUAUAGGUCAUGCGAGCCCGAAAACAACCACACUGAACACCGGGUACAGAAACAUGGGGGAUGGACUGAAUAACUGAAAAUGGCCUCUAGACGCGUGUUCGGUCAUGAAAACAUGUGUUGUAGGAUGCGGGAGCCCGAAAACGGCCACACCGGCCACCAGGGCAUGGACCAAACAAUUGAAAAUGGCCUCCGGAUGUGUGUUCGGCCAUGAAAACGUGUGUUAUAGGUCACGGGAGCCCAAAAAUAGCCGCACCGACCACUGGGGAUGAAAUCGUGGGGGAUGGACCGAAGAUGUGAAAAUGGCCUCCAGAUGCGUGUUCGGCCAUGAAAACGUGCGCUAUAAGUCAUGUAAGGCUAAAAAUUGCUACACCGGGACUAAAGCAUCCCCCAUGAGUUACAAUAAAAGGAUUGUAUCCUCUACUCAGUCGGAUGUACUGUGUAGGUGAGAUGGUAAGGAAGCUAUGCGCGAGGUUUGAGGUUGUGGGUUGAAAUCCUACGCACCGCGCGCACACGCGCAUAUUUUGUGUGAAAAAUCAUGUGACUUGUGAUCGGCCAAGGAGAAGUGGGUGCAGCUGUGGCUUAAGUGGCUGAGGCACGCUGCCAUAGACAUCUCCGAUUUGCUCGAAGACUACCAAGACACUAGCAAUAACAAGAACUACUGCUCUUCCUAGCAGACUCUUUACAACCACUUUAAAGCUGUGCAUUUCUCAAUGUAAUUUCGUAGAAGGCAAUCGAUCCAACCAAGCGACUAAAUCAUUUGUUCUUGCCAAUGAUGUACAUCAGGUUUUCUAUAUGAAGGACAUGUCUAGCAAACCUAAGAUUUUAGAAGAAAAAGAAAAAUUAUGGGAGUCAAUAAUAAAUCAGGCCAAUCAGGAGAUUAUAGUAAGCUCGAUGGUAUGCCUCCAUUCGAUGUCGAAGUUGGCCCAAGCAUCAUGUUAGCCAAAGAUCAAAUGUUCGUGCAUUGCUACGGUAAAGAUCAAUUGUGUCUUUUAAACCCAUGGAAUUUUUUAUCUAUGUUUUUAUUACACUUAAUGGAUGUCUACACAUUUGCUAGAAAAUCAAAAUAAUUUUGACUUAAUUAUUUCUUUCAACUCAAAUACUCAUUAAAUUUCUACCUUUUUAUUUAAGCAAGAGAGUUGCUCAAAAAAUGGAUACGUAACCAUGUUGUAUCAUACAAAGCAACCACAUUUCACAUAUAGUCUGGCUUAGCAAACACCAUUGUUGUCUUAACAUAGUGUUCAUGAGUUAGUAGACAUGGAUCUAUUUCUAAUUGCAAGUAGUGCAGCGUACAACCAGCCUGCACCGCCGCAGCUCAAUAUGCGAUAAUUUUUUAUCUUCCCAUGUAAUUUUUCUACUCUAGUACAUAUUGAACUCCACAUAAAUGUCAUGUUCUUUCACGCCACAGACGGUUUCUAAAGUUUGGAACUAAAUAGAUAGCCAAAAAUUUUAAAAAAAUAUUUAUAUGGAUACAUGUAUGUUCUUUGCAAACUAACAAUAUUGUUUACAAUAUCAAAAGGAAUAUGGCUAUGAUCAUUGCCGCAUAUGGCAGGUGAUGGUAGAUGCCGUAUGGGGUUUCUUUAACUUAAUUGUAUAAUAAGCUGAAAUACAUUUUCUAUUUGCAAAUGAAUCAUAGCUGAAAGUGGUGGGAUUGUAGAACCGCCGGCCAUCGUGUCCUUGUAGGACCGCUGCACGAGCCUGUGAGCCACCAGCCACCAUGCGCCCAAGGGCCAUCACCACGCCAUAAGAGGAUGCUGUCUACCCGGUUUCGCGCGCCUGUGCUAGCUGCCUGAACCUGGGCCGCCGCCGGUCGCCUGCCCAGCCGCGCGUUGCGCCAGGGUUUUGCUGGUGACGACCAUGGCCUUCGCGAUCAAAUUAAAAAGUUAUCAACUGCAAAGUAUUAGGUCUCGUUGAGCUCUACAAUUUUGAUAUAAAGUUUCUAUUCAUCCGAGAUCAAAUAAAAAAUUUGAUACUCAAAGCAUAAAUCCAUUAAUCUAGUCUUGCUAAUCCUUACCACCAAAUAAAAAACUAGCAUGUGUUGUGUGUUUGUGACCCUAAACGAUCACAAAUGAAUAACUUAUGGGCCUUGCUAGCGCCCGGAUGUCCAGGCCGGGGCACUAGCAUCAGACCCACGAGUAGCCGUCCGAUCAGGUUCGACACCACUUCAGGAUCUGGCUUAAAAAGAAGUCCCACCGAAACAUUGUUCCAUGUUGCAUGAAGCAACCCACUACCGUCGCCAGGUCUAGAGCAAGCACCACCUUCAAAUGUGCUGCUCACCCUAGCUAAAUAGGGGCAUUAAAAUAUUUCUCGCAUAUCCUUCUCAAAUUAAACAAAAUCGCAACAUCUGAAAAUUUUUACAGAAAACCAUGAAACAUAUCGAUUAGAUAGAUGUAACAAGAUGGAAUAUGGUAUAUGCAACAUAUAGGUUCCGAAAAGCAGAUGAAAUAUUAUGUAAUGAUUCUUGAAACAGUCAAGAAAAAUAGAUGUAACAUCUAAAAUUAAGAAAAGAAGCUUUAUGCAAAUUGCAAAAAGCUGAAACAAGUGGUUGAAACAUUUCAAAUCACCAAAUGCCACAUUUGAAAUGACCAGAUGAAACAUCACGAAAUCAAUUGCAACAGUUGAAGAUGAAAACAUUCAAAUGCCUUGCCUUUCUCCAAAUUUGACCCUCCAAGCAUGAGUCCAGCCAUUUGCACAUUAGACCCUUGGGAGGAGCUCACCGGAGAACAACAAGACCGUGUUAUCCAACAAUUUUCAGAUCAAAUUGCAACAUAAAGAACAAAGCAUUGCAACAUCUGGCAUCACGAGCUACAACAGCAACCAGUUAGGAUCAGGAGAAAGAGGGCAAACACAAGCCUAACAAUGAGUUAUAUCCGGUUUAAACAAGGAUAAAAAUGAGUGUAUUUUACACUCAUCAUGUUGUCUUUUCGCAGCUGUACCGCCUUUAGCGUGUUGUAUUGUUCCUAACACCAAGUCUCCGAGGCCCGAAAAAAUAAGGAAAGUGGUAGCAGCUCAGAAAUCGACUAAGUUUCUUUCCCCCUUUGGCUUUCCUACUAGGAUUCGGAAUCCUCUUUCGUAUGACAAUCUUAAUGAUCUCCCAUAGUCCAAAACUCACAAAAACAUCAAAAAUCCACCGAGAAUAAAUUAAGUAAAAAAACAUGCACACACAGAUAAUAAUAGUAAUCAUGUUUCAUUAUGAUUGCUAAGGUCAGACACAAUACAUAAACAUAUUAGACUGAGUGACCCACCUCACCUCAGAGUAUGCACCAUGUCUGAGUGACCCACCUCACCUUGCCAGGACACUGGUCCUGCCCUCGUGGUUCACGCGCCCUCGUGGUUCAGCAGUGGUCAGUACACAAAUCUAGCUGCCAGUCGGAUCCAAGGGCAGGCAUUUGCAUUGUGGUUGUGUUUGAACAUGGAGAUGUCAUUAUUAUUGUCAGGCACCAUACAUCCUCUCUCAGUUUCACUCCGCCUCACACACGGAUAGCACACCAGGGACCCGACACCAUGCAUGCCGAUUUCAUAUUAUUAAUAUUUAAUUUUUUUAAUGGUUGUUGAAACUAUAUUGUUGAUAUUUUUAUACAUAAUUUACGACCUAAUUUGGAUAUAUUUUUGAAAUAUUCCGAAAUCUUAAAUUCACACGUCUAGAGAUACAGUUAGUCCAAUCUGAUGUUUCCGAUUAUAAAAAUGAACAUAAAGAGAUAGGAAGCGAGAGACGUGAGGGGGAAAGUUAAAUUAGGGCCUAAGGGGUGAAGUUAGGGUUCCAGGUGAGCUGUCAUCACUACGUGUUUUUAAUCGAAAUUGGAAUGUCAGCAAUCGUCAGAUCUUGAGCCAACAGUUGAGACUGCCUCGGAAUGGUAAUUAGGUCUGCGCGAGCUUGCAUUGUGGCCUUCCUUGAAACCUUGGACAUAGGUGUUAUAUUAUUAUGUUCUUGCCAGCACACAGCAGUGAAGGACGACACAGUUGAGAUGUGCAUCACAUUUUCUAUAUGAAGGAUAUGUUUAGCAAACCUAAGAUUUUAGAAUAAAAAGAAAAAUCAUGGGAGCCAAAGCGCCACAUAGUUCUUCCAGGUAAAAAAAAAUCAUCCACUGGACCAGCACAUAGUAACGAUCCAAAAAGUCCAUAUUAAGAUUUUUUGAUAGCAGAAAAAACAUAAAAUGUCUAAUAUUUGUAGUAUUAAAAGGAAAAAUAAUAUAUUCACGUGACCUUUUUCCCGUAGCAAGGCACCGGUACGUGGUCAGACUUAAUGCACGAUGCCUAAGCAUCCAUUGGGCCUACCCUCGUGUGGAUCACGCGCAACAGGACACGGCUCACAAGCUAUGAUGUGCAGCAGUCGCUCAGAUGGCUGAAAGGUACCCUUAAUUUGAAUGGUACCAUAUAUAUAUAUAUAUAUAUAUAUAUAGUAAACAAGACAAACCACCGUUGAUACUACUUUGCACUACUUGAUACAUAUAUCUCCACCAAAAGCGAGGCACGUGGGGAGGAGAGAUAUGUGGUUGAUGGUGCGGGCACGUGGCGAGUGCACCGUACGAAAAUUUUGCUCGUGUCGGACGACUGAUGUGAAGCAUUACCCAAUCUUAAUUAUCUCCCAUAAUCCAAAACUCACAAAAACAUCAAAAAUCCGCCGAGAAUAAAUUAAGUAAACCAUGCACACACAGAUAAUAAAAUUGCUAAUAAGGCCAGAGACAAUACAUAAACAUAUUAGACUGUUCAUGACACAUAUCACGGUGGAUAGUGUCUGUGUCCUUAUUACAAGCAAUGAGAGAUGCUUGUCACCACACACACGCGCACAGAUGCACAACAUACAUAUAGUUGAGACCAACAGAUGGAUCAACUAGAGGUCACCCCAUAUGGUGAACAAUUUAUUGGAGAUAAACAUUAACAUAACUUGGCCAUAGCUUGAAGCAUAGCAACAUAUGCCUAUGAACGGCGUUCAUGCUAUCAUUUUAGGCUUGUCCGCUUCUUCCAUCUUAGCAAGCACUUCCAUUUCUACCAUCUUAGAAGCAACUGUCAAAUUGAGAUAUGGAAAUCCCAUUAGCGCAUGAGUUAAUUUUGCAGUGAAAAUAGAGUACAAGAUAUCUUCAUGAUGUAAGUAACAUGCCUGAAGUUGUGAGAUGGGAAGUGAAGUCAACAAAUUACAUUAACGGAAAUGCAUGGAAGGCCACACAUACGUAUUAGUCCAUGAUAUGCUACAAAGCUUGUAUGUACAUAUAGCAAAUUAAAUGCAUUAAUUGAAUAGAGUGAGUUUAGUGAAUUUACCAGAAUCGUCCAGAAAACAUGGGAAACAGCAAGUGUUCUUGCAGACUGCGUCGGUGCCACCCACAGCAAUACAACCAAAACAACAUGCUUUUGCCCGAGCGGCUGCGCAGCAGCCGCACUCUGCCGCGGUGGCCGAGUUAGCAUUGAGGCUCAAGAUGACCAGGCACAUGAUCACCAUCAAAGCGGUGGUAGUCCUCUUUCCCUCCAUUGCCUCCUCUUGCUGCUACCUUCCUUGGUUACCUAGCUAAGUUUAUUGGUUUUGUGUUGAGAGGUGAUUCUUGCAUUGAAUGGACGUUGCCGCGGCUGCAAUUUAUAGGCAGCUGCGCUAUGUGAUGAUAUGGACAAGGUGCAAAUGGGUGGUCCUGAUAUGGAUAAGGUGCAUGCGAAUGGCUGUCUACUUGUAUAGUGGCGCUCCAAUGUACAUACGUAUGUAUCUUAUGCAUGUAUACAGUUGAUGGAUGUACAUGUUUGUUGCACAAAUUAUUCUGAACCAACUCUUCAUAACAGGUCUUUGUUACCAAGUAAUUUUACUUUUGCACGUUUCAGCCGAGAGGCAGAAGAGAAUAUUUUACAGAGAGGGCAGAGAAGGAGGUUGGCGGAGGCGCCGUGGUAGGGUUCCCCGUGUCGCCAAGAUUUUUGCAUUUUAGAUGUGUGUAUUGAUCACUUCGUCGUGCUCGCGGGGCCCAACUCCAGGUUGUACCCCAGCAGACCACGUUCUGUUUCUCUGCCUCCAAUGAGCAUGCAUGCCUCCACAAGGACCACAAGACUUAGUAAAAAAGCUAAACUUUGCAACACGAUGUAUACAGAACGUUUUGAAAUGUACUCUCGUUAGGCAUUCACCUCCUUAACAAUCACUGCGACUGUAAAAGAGGUACAUCGACGCUAGCUAAAUAAACCACUAUAAGAUUUAGCAAGAGAUCAUUUUAUACAAUCCUGUAACGAAACAAUUUGACAAUUAUAGUGUCCAUAUAUUUUGACAAAAAAACGUUUAAAUUAUAUAAGGAGGUGGGCCCGAAAACGGUUGGAUUACAUCGAGAACGUUUUGAAACAGUUGGCGGAGCAGGAUUCUGGCGUGGAGCAUCUACAUUGUCGCGCGCGCGGACUGCCGGAGUAGGCACGCUCGACUUGUCCCAUCGCCAGCUAAAUGAUUUAGUACCGGAUGGUCUCUAGUACCGGUUGGAGCUACCGUCCACCAGGAGCUUUUCUAGUUUGGAACUGGUACUAAUGCUAAUAUUAGUAUCAGGUCAAAAACAAUCGGUACUAAGGCUAGGGAUGACACGUCAUUUUUCUAGUAGUGUGUGCAAUUGGUUUUGUAAUUAGUCUAUAUUUAAUACUUCUAAUUAGUAUCUACACAUUUUAUGUGACAGGGACUGAACUUUAGUCCGUGGAACCAAACACCCCAUAAGUAUGUUUGGUGCUGUAAGGAUUUCGGUUUUAUUUAAUUUCCUAGGCAUUUAAAUUUCUUUCUAAAAUAAGUUAAUGAAUCAUAGGAUCUCAUUGUUGUAUUCAAGCUGGUGCAUUGAUUUUGCCUAUAAAACCCGCCGCGGUCUUCGCAGCCCCCAUCAAACCCUAGCGCCCUUGCCACAAGCUCAGCACCGCUGCCGCCCGAGCUCGAGCACUAGCACCCACCCAUCGCCGUUGCCUUCCCGUCGAUGGGAUCACCGCCCGGAGCUUCGCAUCGUGGUAAGGAAGCCGCCCGUGAAGAUCCCAUGUGCUCCUAUGCCCUCUACCGCGUCCCCGAGUUCCCGGAGUUGCUAGUCUCCCACCGAGCCGACUCUCCGAGCUUCACGUCACUGGUGCCGCUCCGAAGACCUAGUUCGGUUCGCCAUGCACCUCGCUUCAUCCUGAGCUAAACCCCAUAAUGAAUGGUGGUCGGAUGCUCGCCGCCACGGCGCGUCGUCUUUUCUGUCGCCCGUGCAUUGCCUAUCCCCUUCCAGCCGAUUGCAGCUGUCCGAUCGCAAACCGGUGGCCCUGAUCGGAUACCAAGGUCAAUACCGGUCGAACCGAGCCGUGCGCUGCUUUUGCAAGAAGGCCCCUGUUUUUCUCUCUUUUUGCACCUGAGGUCCUACGCAGUUCAAAAGUAAUAAGAUCUAGGUCCUUUUUCUUUUGUUUUAGCCCGUGUUCUUUUAUAAAAUCCCGCCCACUAUUCUGUUUGGUCUUUUGACGCGUUAGACCUUCUUUUUAUAUGUUUAAUUAGGUUUUAGGUCUCGAUUUCUUUAAGUUUAGCCCUUGAAAGUUUAGUUCUCUCGCAGUUAAGCCCCUGAACCUUGUUUAGCUCAUAUCUUAAGCGUUUUAAAUCCGUUUUAACAGAUUCUUGCGCCUAUAAGUUCAUGUUGACGCAUAGAUUAGUUGACUUAUACGAACCUUGCUGAUUCAGCUCCUUGAUUGUGCUUCAGAUCUCGCUAGGGAAGAAUAAUGGAUGGGCUUUGGUUGAGCUUGUAGAUCGACUUGCAGUUGCAGUGAAUGAGCAGAGGAUUGGCAGUGAAUAAGAUCAGGCCGCUGCCCUGCUUGGUAGGGAAAAUAUCUGCUUGCUACCAAGGCCUGUGACGCAUGGACCCCAUUGAGAGUGCAUUAUUGACAAGGACUUAAAGCCAAGGGCUCCACACCUGUCAUUGAUCAGCUGUCUGCUGGGCGCUGCAAGGAGGUAGUGCAUGUUUGACAUAAAGAAGCAGGUGGCCCAGGAUUUACGAAAAAUAAGGAUCUAUUUGAUACCCUUGCUUAUAUUUAGGGGCUAAAAGUUGCUUAUUUGAAGUUGCUUAUUUUUAAUCCUAGCUGUUUGAUUGCAUGGGCUAAAGAGCAUUGAAUGAGGUGGAUAUUGUCAUGUUUGCCUCUAAUGAUUGCUUCCCAUCACAUUUCUCCCCCCUCAUUCAACGAGGGAAGGAGGUGUAAAGUGCACCUUUUAGCCCCGAUAAGUAACCCUUGUGUUGUUUACGGGCUGAACAUAAGUAGCUAAAGUUUAGCUCCAAUAAACAAGAGUGUUUGGUAUUUUUGGGGUUAAAAGGGGCUAAACUUUAGCUGCUUAUGCAUAAGCAAGGCCAUCCAAAUAGGCCCUAAGUAUGUUUGGCGUUGUAAGUAGGUUUUAUUUAAUUUCCUAGGCAUUUAAAUUUCUUUCUAAAAUAAGUUAAUGAAUCAUAGGAGUUCAUUGUUGCAUUCACGCUGGUGCAUUGAUUUUGCCUACAAAACCUGCUGCCGUUUCCGCAGCUCCCAUCAAACCCUAGCACCCCCGCCACGAGCUCCAGCGCCGCUGCCGCCCGAGCUUGAGCACUAGCGCACACCCAUCGCCGUCGCCUUCCUAUCAAUGGGAUCACCGCCCGGAGCCCGUGUCAUGGUAAAGAAGCCGCCCGUGAAGAUCCCGUCCACUCUCGUGCCCUCUACCGCGUCCUCGAGUUCACCGGAGUUGCCAGUCUGCCACCCAGCCGCCUCUCCGAGCUUCAUGUUGUCGUUGCCACUCUAGCUGCCUCUCUGAAGACCUAGAUCGGUUUGCCGUGCACCCCGCUUCAUCCUGAGUUAAACCCCAUCAUGCCACGUCAUAGUAAGGAAGCUGCUCAUGAAGAUCCCGUGCGCUCCCGUGCCCUCUACCGCGUCCCCAAGUUCACUGGAGUUGCUAGUCCACCACCGAGCCGCCUCUCCGAGCUUCACUUCACAGUCGCUGCUCCAGCCACCACUCUGAAGACCUAGAUCAGUUCGCUGUGCACCCCACCUCAUCCUGAGCUAAACCCCAUGACGAACUGUGGUCGGAUGCUCAUUUUCGAGUGAAUUCCGGCGAGAUGGUCGCCCGCCGCCGCCAUCUCCAUCGCCCAUGCACCGCCUGUCCCCUUCCAGCCGAUGUCCGAUUGCAAACCGAUAGCCGAAAUCGGAUGUGGUCACCAGGAUUAAUACCAGUCAAACUAAGCCACGCGUGCCGCUUUUGCAAGAAGGCCCCUAUUUUUCCCUCUUUUUGCACUUGAGGUCCUAUGCAGUUCAAAAGUAAUUAGAUCAAGGUCCUUUUUCUUAUGUUUUAGCCCUAUUCUUUCAUAAAAUCCCGGCUGCCAUCCUGUUUGAAAUAGAUACGGUUAUAGAUAUGCAAACAUCUGCAUAUUUCCAACCGUAUCUCUUUCGAACGGGAGACGCCUAACUAGGUUACGUGACAUACGAACAUCAUACGGAUAGAGAGGGGUAGGAUGUCUCACCUUGCUAUCCUACAAAGUGACGACUCGAGGACAGUAAUGUAGCCUCUCCUUCAAAAAAAGAACAUACUACUAUCAAGUUAAAUUUUUGACAGCACCUCCCCUGCACGUGGAGGUUUCCAUAACCUGCAUCAAAUAAAACGGCACGAUGGCUGACAACCACAUCUACAGCACCAGAAUGGCACGAUGGCCGACUUCCACAUAAAGUUCUUAUACCUUAGAUUGCCAAGUCAAACAUCCUUUUCUAAUUUCUAAAACAAAAGCCCUCCCACCUCUCUAUCUUAUACUUUCCUAUUUACUAAUUGCUUUUGUAAUUUCUAAUUUCUAUUUCAUCCUACCACCUCUGUACCCUUUUCUCAUUUCUAAUUCCAAUUUUCUAACUUGAAGAGCAAAGAUUGAUUACUAGGAGGGGUGAGGGACGCCGGCCUAGAGAGGCGAGGGGACGUCCGGCGGCGGCGGGUGCGUCGGGGGUAGGAUGCCAGGGGCGGCUGCAGGGGCGCCGGGUUGGGGGCGGCCGGGAUCGAGGGCACCAGUAGCGGGGGCACCGGGCCGGGGGCGGCCGGCGGGGCGGGACGCCAGGGCCGGGGCGACGGGCGCCGGUGGCGAGGCCGCCCGGCCGGUGGUGGCCGGCGUGGCGCCUGGGCCGGGGGGGGGGGGCGGGCGGGGUGCGGCGCGGCGCGCCGGGGCAGGGCGCCGAGGCUGGGUGGUGGGGUACGGGGCGGCGGGCGGGGGGUGGGGGGAGGGUCGGCGGCGGGGCGCGGGGGCGGCCAGCGGCGACGGCGGAGGGCGUCGGUGGUGUUUCGGAAGUGAUACGGAGGGGGUAGAGAGAUUCGUUUUCGCGGCUGAGUGUUCGAGUCAGAAGGCCGUGCGGCUUAAGUCAGGUGGUUUGCCGAGUGCGCGCGAUCUGGCACUCGGCAAAGUCAGAAGUUUUGCCGAGUGUCAGAUCGCGGGCACUCGGCAACUGCAGCUUUUGUCGAGUGCCCUGGAUUCGGCACUCGGCAAAGUGAAGUUUUAAUUUUUUUUAAAAAAAUUUAAUCGGAACACGGGCGUGCCAGCGGGCCCGUGACAUACUUUGCCGAGUGUGUAGCAAAAACACUCGGCAAAAUAUUAUCUUUACCGAGUGUUUUCGCUAGGCACUCGGCAAAGUACACUUAUAUUUCAUGUACACUUUUUCAAUAACGUGUUUUACUAACCUUUUUCUGAUAUACUUGGGAAAAACCUUAUCAAAUUCACUCAACAAUGGAUAUAUGGUUUUUCUACUGACAUUAUUCCAUUAUUUCAUUCAGUUAUAGCUCAAAUUGAAUUUAUAUCUAUUAAAAAUCAAUAAUUGCAUUUAAUAAAUAAAAAAUACCAAACGGAUCUGAAAAAUUUCCAAAAUUUGACAUGAACCAAUCUAUGUUGUAUGUUGCCUGUACAAAAAGCUUUGAAGUCAAACCCCAAUUCAAGUGUCACUUGGACUCCAAAUCUUAUCGGAUCCUUUCUAACUUCUAUGAAUCCUUUCGGGAGAUGAGUCGGUUUGUAAGCAUCAUAUGUCAUAAAUUGGGCGAAACCUUCUCAAUUUUUUACCACAGCCUCCACAUAUAAUAUCAUGACACCUUGACAAAUCUUGUGAUUUUCAGACUUCGUUUGCUUUUUUUAGAAUUUAACAACCAUUCAACCACAUGUUCGUGAUCGUGUUUUCUAAAAAAAUGUUCAAAAUUUCUUUUCAUUUCCUGGUUGAGACCUCAAUCCGGAUUGAAUAAUAUGAAUAUGAUUUUUUCACUGAUUUUAAUCCAUUAUUUAAAUCACUUGCAGUUAAAUUUGACUUAAAUAAACAAAUUCCUAUUAAUGCUAUCAAUUCAUUAAAAAUAGCAAACAGAGAAAAAAUAGACCAACUUUUAAGAUGGAUUACCAAAUGUCAUAUGUGGGGAGUAGAAAAAGUGUGGAGAGCAGAGGUGGAAAAAAAAGUUUUGCCUUUGCCAAGUGCCUACACAAACACUCAACAAACUUUGCGGAGUGCCUAUUGAAAACACUCAGCGAACUUCUGAGUUUGCCGAGUGUCUGGAGGGAGCACUCGGCAACCUACUUAUUUGCCGAGUGUCCGCGUCGGACACUCAGCAAAGUACUAACGGCUGGCACACUCCCCUAACGGACGGCGCACGUGCAAGCCAUGUGCUGGAGAUUUAUCGAGUGUCAAAUCGUUGCCGAGUGUCGUGUGGAUGUUUGCCGAGUGUCUUAUUUGUGACACUCGGCAAAGCUAUUGUUUGCCGAGUGUAUUAUUUAUGCCGAGUGUCUUCCAGUAUACACUCGGCAAAUGAUGUCUUUGCCGAGUGCUCGACAUAAAGCACUCGGCAAAAAUUUUACACUCGGCAACAUUCCUGUUUCCGGUAGUGAGUGACCCGGGACUAAAGACCCCCGUUGUCUCUGAUUGCUUUAUUCCGGAUGGAUUUUCAGGAGAUUUGCUCCCUACCAAUAGGGACUAAAGGCAAGUUUUCCACUUAUAGCAAACCAGUUAGCCCAUUGUUGAUGGAACGCAUCACUAGAAACAGCUCGGGAUCCACUUGUCCAAUAAUCGAGAGGGCCUAUAUAUGGACCACGUGUGCGGAUCCCUAAUUAGGAAAAAAGAAUAAUGGAGUAGGACAUCUCCAUGCUCACCUAGUAGCCGCUGCUAGCUUGUGCGUGUGGAACACGAGUGCCGGCCCAGUUGGCGCUAAGACAUCGUACGUGCAUUAAGGCUACGAUCUCUUUCUUCUAACUCAUGCUUGUGCUAUUAUACAUUAUUGCAUGAUCAUCAAGAUAAGAUCGUAUAGUGACUGAGUGAGACAUGUAUGUACUAACAUGCAUUUAAGCCUCGAACUGUGUGUUGUUACGUGAGCUGCCUCCUCACCUCGCCUCUGAAUUAUUGAACCGUUUCCAACAGUGUUGGUCUCAAAUAAAUUUGACACCAAACAGAUUUAUGAAGAAGAGAGAAUAAUACUUGGAAUUGGAAAAAGUUUAUCUCUCUUUACAAUGGAGUAGGGCUCCCUUUUAUAGUGACCCAUAAGCCACUUUACAUUUGGAAAAUGUCCUUCCUCAACCACUACAUUAAUUCCUAGGAUAUGCUGUACAUAAAGGUCAUUUGAGGUAACGUGUACAAAUGAACUCUUCCACAUGGUCACGUUUCUCAUGCCUCCUGUUUUCCAACCUCGAGACAUCAUCUUCACGCCAAGUUGAUCAUCUAGCCUCGAGGCUCCAUCCACGAUCCAGAAUGAACGUCCAGGCUUGAGGCUCCUUCUUCGUUAAGCUUUGUUGAGAACUCAUAACCUCACAUAGUUCUCCUCCGAGUAUUGUUCCCGACUCAGAACACUCGAGGUUUAGCUCAGUUGGAGUUUAGCUAUUACUGUUGCUAGUCACCAGCCUCGAGCCCCUCCAGAAGCAAGGUGAUGCGAGGGUACGAGUUUUACUAUUAAAGGUGUUUCCAUAGAAUGUGCGAGGUUAAAGCACUUGCAGCAAAAGCGUGGAGCUGCUUUCAACCAGAGUGCAAUAAUGCAGCCGUGCCCAUCUUGGUCUUGGUCUCCGCCUGAACUAUAGCAGAUGCUGGCAGCGGUAGCAGGGUGGUCCAUUAUAUCUAUGGAUGGCAAUGGUCGGAUUCGGAUGGAAUCGAAUUCGAAUAGCACUUUUUACCACAUACUAAUUCAAAUCCGAAUUCGGAUUCGGAUGUUCUCGAAUGCGAAUGCAAAAUGGAUGGUUCGAAUUCGAAUACUUAGCGGAUUUUUGCAUAAUAUUAAUCGAAUAGAAUUCAUUAAAUUUAGCCAAGAAAUUAAAUUUUCUGAAAUUAAAUACUUUCCCUUCGCCCCAGCGGCGGCCUAACUCCCAGGACGGUGGCGUGCGGGGCCCGAGCAUCCCUGGCCUCUAGUGGCGUGGCGGGGCGGCAUCCAGCAGCAGCGGCGGGGCUCGGCCUCCGGUGGCGCGCGGCCAGCCCGACCUACCCGGUCAGAGGUGGCGCAGCGGUGCGCGGGCCUCCCCGACCAGAGCCGGUGGGGAGCGGUGCGCGGGGAGGACCUCCCCAGCCGGAGGUAGCAGGGCGCGACCUCCCCGGCCGGAGGUGGCUCCCUGUGGGGGCGCGGCCGUGACAGCUAGCGAGGCAAUAAUUGCUUCCGUACGCAGCAAUAAUUGCUUGUGCGACACCGUGUUAUUACUCUGGUACAGUACUCCCUCCGUUGCAGUACACUGGUCCAGGCGUCAGGACACUGCUCCUGCCCUCGUGGUUCACGUGCAUCAGGCCAGCAGACAAGCUAUGAUGUUGCCAACAGUGUUUGUUUGAACAUGGAGAUGUCAUUGUGAUUGUCAGGGACCCGACACCAUGCAUGCCGAUUUCAUAUUCUUAAUAUUUAUUUUUUUAAUGGUUGUUGAAACUAUAUAGUUACUCCAAUAUCACGUUUCCGAUUAUAAAAAUUAACAUAAAGAGAUCGGAAGGGAGAGCCCGCAUAAUGAAGCCGACGCGUAUAAUAAGCACUAGAGCCGGCAUUUAUACAAACGGGUACGCAUAGUAAAAACUAGAAUUUAUAAAUAAAUGAAGAUAUUCAAAUAUCUGGCUUACUUUUUUCAUUAAUUUUGCAUGAAUAAGGGAUGAUUCAUUAAUCAUUAUUGAACAAAUUGGCACACAUGCUUCGUGCCCGCGUUGUGAGCAUUAUGCGAUGCCACUGAGCUGCACCACCACGGUAGAGGGCCUGUUUGCGAUGCCACCGAGCUGCACCACCACGGCAGAGGGUCUGUUUGGGAAGGGGAAGUUAAAGUUUAACACCCCCCAUUUAACACCUUUUUAACAAAAUGGCUGCUAAACACUUGUGUUAAAAGAGUAGUGUUAAAAUUUAACACCUCUCUUUUCAUAAACACAUGGAGGGGGUGUUAAAAUUUGCUAAAUGUGUUAAAAGUGGUCCCCUCCCCACUUAUUCCUUGGUUGCCCCCCUCUCUCUCCUCCUCUCUCUCCUACCCGCCGCAUUUAAGAGCAUUAUUGAGGGGUAAUGCAGUCCUUUUCCAACAAAAGUGUUAAACUUUAACAACCCUUCCCAAACAUGCCACAAGCAACACCACCGGCUGACUGUGCUAGCGGGGAGCACCCUCACCGCCUGCCCGUGGGGACUUCUUCUGCCGGCCAUCGUGUCUUUGUAGGACCGCCGCGUGAGCCUAUGAGCCACCGGUGGCCGUGCGCCCAAGGGCCAUCACCAUGCCACCUGAGGAUGCUGUCUACCCGGUGCCGCGUGCCUCUGCUAGCUGCUUGCACCUGGGCCGCCGCUGGUCGCCUGCACAGCCACGCGUUACAGCCGCCCCCCUGCGCUGGGCCACCCCAUUUCGUGUUGGAAGAACUGCCACAGUCUCGCGCACUGGGGUUUUGCUAGUGACGACCAUAGCCUCCAAGAUCAAAUGAAAAAGUUGGUACUCAAAACAUACAUCCAUUAAUCUAGUCGUGCUAAUCCUUACCACCAAAUAAAAACUAGCAUGUGUUGUGUUUUUGUGACCCUAAACGAUCACAAAUGAAUAACUUAUGGGCGUUGCUAGCCUAUAAGUUAUGGGCGUUUGUGACCCUAGUCGCGCCGGGGUCUUGCUGGUGACAACCAUGGUCUUCGCGAUAAAGUAUUAAGUCUCAUCGAGUUCUACAAUUUUGAUAUAAAAUUUCUAUUCAUCCGAGAUCAAAUGAAAAACAAAUGAAAAAAUCCGAAGUAUUAGGCUUCAUCGAGCUCUACAAUUUUGAUAUAAAAUUUCUAUUCAUCCGAGAUCAAAUGAAAAAAUCCGAGAUCAAAUGAAAAGUUGGAACUCAAAACAUACAUCCAUUAAUCUUGAUAUAAAAUUUCUAUUCAUCCGACAUCAAAUGAAAAAGUUGGUACUCAAAAUAUACAUCCUUUAAUCUAGUCGUGCUAAUCCUUACCACCAAAUAAAAAAACUAGCAUGUGUUGUGUGUUUCUGACCGUAAACGAUCACAAAUGAAUAACUUAUGGGUGUUGCUAGCGUCCCGGACGCUAGCAUCGGACGCAUGAGCAGCCGUCCGAUCGGGUCCGACACCACUUCACGAUCUGUCUUAAAAAAAAGUCCCACCGAAACAUUGUUCCAUGUUGCAUGAAAUACCCCACUAUCCAUCGCCAGGUCUACAGCAAGCACCACCUUCCAAUCUGCUGCUCACCCAAGCUAAAUAGGGGCAUUAAAAUUGCAGAAAUAUGUCACAUAUCCUUGUCAAAUUAAACUAAAUCGCAACAUCCGAAAAUUUCUUACACAAAACCAUGAAACAUAUCGAUUAGAUAGGUGUAACAAGAUGGAAUAUGGUAUCCAACAUAUAGAUUCCGAAAAACAGAUGAAACAUUAUGUAACGAUUGUUGAAACAGUCGAGAAAUAUAGAUGUAACGAUUAAAAUUUAGAAAAGAAGCUUUAUGCAAAUUGCAAAAAGCUGAAAUAAGUGGUUGAAACAUUUCGAAUCACCAAAUGCCACAUUUGAAAUGGCUACAUGAAACAUCACGAAAUCAAUUGCAACAGUUGAAGAUGAAAACAUUCAAAUGCCUUGCCUUUCUCCAGAUUUGACCCUCCAAGCAUGAGUCCAGCCAUUUGCACAUUAGACCCUUGGGAGGAGCUCACCGGAGAACAACAAGACCGUGUUCUCCAACAAUUUUCUGAUCAAAUUGCAACAGACAAAACAAAGCAUUGCAACAUCUGGCAUCACGAGCUACAACAUCAACAAGUUAGGAUCAGGAGAAAGAGGGAAAACACAAGCCUAACAACCCCAAGACAAAACUGAUGUACUCAUCAUACAUCACGGCUUGCCGUGCACAGAGAUGAAGGCCGCCAAGCUCAAUCGAGACAGAGACGACGUGAUAGUGCUCCAGAUCGACGGUCCCCAUCAAUUGUUGCGUACACUGCCAAAAGCAAUGGAAGAAGAAGGGUCGUCCCUGCUCGACCUCCGUAGAUGAGCGCAGAUUGGGGGAAACCGUAUAGAGUGCCGCUGACAGCACAGGCGAGGGGGCUCAGGCUUGAUUCAGGGUGAGGGUAGCGGGUAGCAUGAGGAGACAGUCAGGUUUCAUAGGAGAGAGGCGGAGUAGAGAGCUCUGGUGACUCGGUGAGGAGGGUGCGGCACGGAGAAAGGUGUGUAGCUGAAGGAGCUACAUGGUUGGGGCGAGGCGAGCGUAGAGACUAGAGAGGGAAAAAAAGCAUGGGGAGGAGACGAUAUGUGGUUGAUGGUGCGGGCACGUGGUGAGCGCACCGUAUGAAAAUUUUGCUCGCGUCGGAUGACUGAUGUGAAGCAUUACCCAAUCUUAAUUAUCUCCCAUAAUCCAAAACUCACAAAAACAUCAAAAAUCCGCCGAGAAUAAAUUAAGUAAACCAUGCACACACAGAUAAUAAAAUUGCUAAUAAGGCCAGAGAUAAUACAUGAACAUAUUAGACUGUUCAUGACACAUAUCACGGUGGAUAGUGUCUGUGUCCUUAUUACAAGCAAUGAGAGAUGCUUGUCACCACACACACGCGCACAGAUGCAUGACAUACAUAUAGUUGAGACCAACAGAUGGAUCAACUAGAGGUCACCCCAUAUGGUGAACAAUUUAUUGGAGAUAAACAUUAACAUAACUUGGCCAUAGCUUGAAGCAUAGCAACAUAUGCCUAUGAAUGGCGUUCAUGCUAUCGUUUUAGGCUUGUCCAGCUUCUUUCAUCUUAGCAAGCACUUCCAUUUCUACCAUCUUAGCAGCAACUGUCAAAUUGAGAUAUGGAAAUCCCAUUAGCGCAUGAUUAAUUUUGCAGUGGAAAUAGAGUGCAAGAUAUCUUCAUGAUGUAAAUAACAUGCCUGAAGUUGUGAGAUGGGAAGUGAAGUCAACAAAUUACAUUAACGGAAAUGCAUGGAAGGCCACACAUACGUAUUAGUCCAUAAUACGCUACAAAGCUUGUAUGUACAUAUAGCAAAUUAAAUGCAUUAAUUGAAUAGAGUGAGUUUAGUGAAUUUACCAGAAUCGUCCAGAAAACAUGGGAAACAGCAAGUGUGCUUGCAGACUGUGUCGGAGCCACCCACACGAAUACAAAGCUGACAACAUGCUUGUGCCUCGUGGGAUACGCAGCAGCCGCACUGUGCCGCGGUGGCCGAGUUAACAUUGAGGCUCAAGAUGAACAGGCACAUGAUCACCAUCAAAGUGGUAGUCCUCUUUCCCUCCAUUGCCUCCUGUCGCUGCUACCUUCCUUGGUUACUAGUAAGUUUAUUGGUUUUGUGUUGAGAGGUGAUUCUUGCAUUGAAUGGACGUUGCCGCGGCUGCAAUUUAUAGGCAGCUGCGCUAUGUGAUGAUAUGGACAAGGUGCAAAUGGGUGGUCCUGAUAU
This 41496-nucleotide long non-coding RNA is filed under the name Setaria viridis. RNAcentral's name for it is "long non-coding RNA (SVIR_LNC010032)". Lineage: Eukaryota; Viridiplantae; Streptophyta; Magnoliopsida; Poales; Poaceae. The record is from RNAcentral.